Molecule: long non-coding RNA, 1007 nt
Organism: Sapajus apella (tufted capuchin)
Lineage: Eukaryota; Metazoa; Chordata; Mammalia; Primates; Cebidae
Exons: 2
Source: RefSeq, a predicted model, not a curated record
CUGCACCUGUUUAAACAGAGUUCAGAGAAAUACUGUUCAGGUGGCCACUUUCUGGCAAAGAAAGGAAAAGCAAAGGAAUGAGAGACUGUGCUGGGGGGAAAAAAAGUGCUCACUCUAGAAGCUAUAUGGGAUCUACAGCUGAGAUGCAGAAAGCAAUAGAACGACAGAACAAGAAUAAGAAGGGAAAUCCUGUCGGAAACUACAUGAAGCCCUGAUGUGAACUUUAGUAAUGGCCUUCACGAACACAUUACAUUAAAAGCAAAACUAUAUCGAUUUUAAAGGGCUUGAUGAUGGUUUCUUACAAUUUAGUGUGUGUUUGCUUAAUACAGUCGUAAUUUCCAUCCGGCCCACUGUCACAAAAAAAACAAAAAAAAUCGUUUUUUUAUUCUGAAAACAGCUGAUGGUUAAUGGGCAUUAACCUCAAAGGAUUUCAAAGGUUUUAGAGAUAUGCUACACUCUUCAAAAAACUCUCCUCACUGACCUCCAAAAUAUACUUUUUUAAAACUUACUUGUAAUUCUUGCAAAUUCUGGAAAGAUAUUUUUUUCUUAAUGUCCACUGGCAUAUUUUGAUUUCAUCAUCUAAUAUUCCUAUUUUCCCCUCUCAGGUCAUAGUGACUCCCAUCACAAACUCCAGCUGAACUAACUUGGAAGAGUAUCCUCCCUGACAGCUCUGGAAGGAAAUUGACAGAACUUUCAUAAAGCCAAAGACUGGCAGAAAUAAAGUAAAUAAUGAUAAAACUGAGCAAUAGAUCACCCAGAAGGAGUGUCCCCUGCCAAAAGGAAUGUGGCAUUUCACCCUGUGAGAAACAAAUAGACACCCUGUCCUACGGAAGACUGGGGCUUACAUGUCACCGUCACUCACUUCUUUAUCCUUUCGCCAAAGGAAGCCACUUCAUCUAGGAUGUUCUGGACACUGACACAUACCUCCUGGAUGGCGUAGAUUUUAUUUAUAAAUCCCUUUUUUUCACUGUCCUAAAAUGCAAUAAAAAAAAAAAAAUUCUGUAUGA